RNAcentral lists this small RNA (132 nucleotides) under Haemophilus sputorum HK 2154. Its description in RNAcentral is "GcvB RNA". It matches the Rfam family "GcvB RNA", at positions 1 to 143 of the family's 204-position model. From Rfam's summary of the family: The gcvB gene encodes a small untranslated RNA involved in expression of the dipeptide and oligopeptide transport systems in Escherichia coli. Included several unknown homologues in alignment (Bateman A pers obs). It base-pairs with SorC. The record is from RNAcentral. Lineage: Bacteria; Pseudomonadati; Pseudomonadota; Gammaproteobacteria; Pasteurellales; Pasteurellaceae.
ACUUAAUAAGGAUAGUGAUUUUUUGAUUUUCGUCAAAUUUUCCUGAAAUUUUAAGUAUGAUGUUGUGUUUGCAUAUUGGUCUAGGUAACUAGACUAGAGUAACGAAAGUUACUCGUUUCACUUCCUGUAUAU